RNAcentral lists this transfer RNA (70 nucleotides) under Papiliolebias bitteri. RNAcentral describes it as "tRNA-Ala". The record is from RNAcentral. Lineage: Eukaryota; Metazoa; Chordata; Actinopteri; Cyprinodontiformes; Rivulidae.
AAAGCUUUAGCUUGAUUAAAGCAUCUGCAUUGCAUGUAGAAGAUAUGAAUUUCAAUAUUCAUAAGUUUUU